RNAcentral lists this ribosomal RNA (253 nucleotides) under uncultured bacterium. Its description in RNAcentral is "partial 16S ribosomal RNA". It matches the Rfam family "Bacterial small subunit ribosomal RNA", at positions 524 to 776 of the family's 1533-position model. The record is from RNAcentral.
UACGUAGGGGGCUAGCGUUGUCCGGAAUCAUUGGGCGUAAAGCGCGUGUAGGCGGCCCGGUAAGUCCGCUGUGAAAGUCGGGGGCUCAACCCUGGGAUGCCGGUGGAUACUGUCGGGCUCGAGUCCGGAAGAGGCGAGUGGAAUUCCUGGUGUAGCGGUGAAAUGCGCAGAUAUCAGGAGGAACACCAAUGGCGAAGGCAGCUCGCUGGGACGUGACUGACGCUGAGACGCGAAAGCGUGGGGAGCAAACAGG